This 794-nucleotide long non-coding RNA is filed under the name Vigna radiata. RNAcentral's name for it is "long non-coding RNA (VRAD_LNC017067)". Lineage: Eukaryota; Viridiplantae; Streptophyta; Magnoliopsida; Fabales; Fabaceae. The record is from RNAcentral.
GAGAACAUAAAUUGCAAUAAAAGAAUCAACAUAAAUUGAAGUUUAUUAAGAGGAAAAUGAAAAUUGCAAGAAAAAAUCCACCGUGGAAGCAAAGCCGAGAUGAUCACGGGCUGCAACUACCGUGAUUGCUCAAUCAAUAGUCCAAGAAUGAUGAAAAUCUAACCUAUGAAAAGCGAGUAAACCUAAACUAGAAAUGAAAGCAGCUGAAAGCGAGAAACCCUAAGCACGCAACAUCUAUCACCUACUGCUCUCGUGGAGUCUGGCACCUUCCACAUGCUCUUGAACUCUCGCAAUCUCAGUCUCGUGAGUUGAGUCUGUCACCCUCCACCCUUCACUAAGAAAUCUUUACAAGUUUCUUUAUAUAGAGAAAAAGAAAAGGAAAAAAAAAUGGGAAAGGGGAAGAAGAUCUCUUGACGUUUCGUGCUUCUUUGAUCAAAUGGUCUUCAUUCAUCAUCCUCUCCAAGCCCUACGAUUGUCUUCAAUCUUAUUGCCGCUUCAGCCUCCGCACAUGCACUUUGGGUCUCCGCUGGUUCACAAUCACGAAUUAUGGAGCUCCUUUGCCUCUUUCUUUCUUCCCUUUCUCACUCAAACACUAGAGGAUUUUCUUUCUCACUCCACUNUAACACAUUGAUGCUCUCUGGCAAAUGAAUCACUAACGCGCAUGAAGCCAAAGCAGGACAACCACCCAAAACGCACAACUUCAAUUAACUGCAGGCCUAAUGUCCAUGCCAGUGGCCCAAUUUGCAACAACCACGUAGUUUAAUUCCAAUCAACCCAGUGCAGCUUCAGCAGCC